GAUGAACGCUGGCGGCGUGCCUAAUACAUGCAAGUCGAGCGAACAUACGAGGAGCUUGCGCCUCUGACGUUAGCGGCGGACGGGUGAGUAACACGUGGAUAACCUACCUAUAAGACUGCGACUACUUCGGGAAACCGGAGCAAAUAGCGGAUAAUAUAUUGAACCGCUGGGUUCUAUGGUGAAAGACGGUUUUGCUGACACUUAUACAUGGAUCCGCGCCGCAUUAGCUAGUUGGUAAGGGAACGGCUUACCAACGCACCGUUCCGUAGCCGACCUGAGAGGGUGAUAGGCCACACGGGAAGUGGGCAACGCUCCAGACCCCUACGGGAGUCAACAGCAGGGAAUUUUGCGCAAUGGGCGAAAGCCUGCCGGAGCCCCGCCGAGUGCGGGAUGAAGGUCUCCGCAUCGUAAAACUCUGUUAUUAGGGACGAACAAAUGUGUACGUGCCUAUGCACGUCUUGACGGUACCUAAUCAGAAAGCCACGGCUAACUACGUG
RNAcentral lists this ribosomal RNA (497 nucleotides) under uncultured bacterium. RNAcentral's name for it is "partial 16S ribosomal RNA". It matches the Rfam family "Bacterial small subunit ribosomal RNA", at positions 28 to 507 of the family's 1533-position model. The record is from RNAcentral.